Molecule: non-coding RNA, 137 nt
Filed under: Chloroparvula japonica
Lineage: Eukaryota; Viridiplantae; Chlorophyta; Chloropicophyceae; Chloropicales; Chloropicaceae
Source: RNAcentral
AUUGUUCGCCGUGGCCGCUACCGCGCGCUGUCGGGGUACCACGUGGCGCAGAGCUCCUUCAGCCGGGCCGGAGAGGCCCCCAUGUACCAAGACAGGCCCAGGAGGAAGUGCACGAACGUGAUCUGGACGCUGCCGGC